This is a non-coding RNA of Desulfitibacter sp. BRH_c19, 100 nucleotides long. The record is from Rfam. NCBI's taxonomy places the organism in Bacteria, Bacillati, Bacillota, Clostridia, Neomoorellales, Desulfitibacteraceae.
UAGUCAGACAGCAAAGUUCCUGAUGCCCAAGCAGCCCAUGAAAAAGCCGUUAGUUCCGUUCUAUCCGCAAUGGGCGGGGUUAACCUAGUUCUAGGAGUUG